UACAGAGGGGGCAAGCGUUGUUCGGAAUUACUGGGCGUAAAGGGCGCGUAGGCGGCCUGUUAAGUCGAACGUGAAAUCCCCGGGCUCAACCCGGGAACUGCGUCCGACACUGGCAGGCUUGAAUCCGGGAGAGGGAUGCGGAAUUCCAGGUGUAGCGGUGAAAUGCGUAGAUAUCUGGAGGAACACCGGUGGCGAAGGCGGCAUCCUGGACCGGCAUUGACGCUGAGGCGCGAAAGCGUGGGGAGCAAACAGG
This 253-nucleotide ribosomal RNA is filed under the name uncultured bacterium. Its description in RNAcentral is "partial 16S ribosomal RNA". It matches the Rfam family "Bacterial small subunit ribosomal RNA", at positions 524 to 776 of the family's 1533-position model. The record is from RNAcentral.